This 1260-nucleotide ribosomal RNA is filed under the name Triticum aestivum (bread wheat). Its description in RNAcentral is "partial small subunit ribosomal RNA". The record is from RNAcentral. Lineage: Eukaryota; Viridiplantae; Streptophyta; Magnoliopsida; Poales; Poaceae.
AUGGCCGGCGACAGCUCUCCAACCGAGUCGCCUCCGGCGAAAUUGCCAACCGCAUCUAACCCCACCUACAUAGACCGCAUCGACGAGGACAUCCUGCGUGAGAUCUUCCUUCUCCUUCCGUCCCUCGCGGCGCUCGUCCGCGCCGCCUGCACCUGCCGCGCGUGGCGCAGCGCGGUGGCCUCCGCCCCUGCCUUCCGCCGCCGAUUUCGCGAAGUCCACCGGGCGCCCCUCAUUGGCCUCUUCUUCCAGGUUCCCCCGCCCUCCCAAACACCUAACCUUCCCGCCUUCCCCGCCUUCUUCCCCGCCCGCCGCCGCGACCGUGACCUGGUCGCCGCCAUCCGCUGCGGCGACUUCUUCCUCACCUCCAUCCAGGAGCGCCCCGACGAAUCCCUCUGCUGGGACAUCAUCGAUUCUCGCCACGGCUACAUCCUCCUCAUGAAUUGGGACGAGGGUUUGCUCUGCUUGUUCAACCCCCUGCUGCGGUGGAGCAAAACUUUCGAUCUGGGCCCUAUGGACCUCUUUUACGGCAGUAAGGGCGCCUACGCGCAACUGGACCCCCAGUUGGUCUACUCCGACGAGAACCCAAUGUCGUUCAGGGUGGUGAUGCUUUGCACUGACAGGUCCAGAGUGCCGGCUGCGGUCCUCUCCUCCGAGACCUGGGAAUGGUCUGUCCUUCCAUGGGUGGAAGUUCCGGCCAGGCCAGCCAAGGAAAAAUUGUGGCUUCAAGAUGAGUGUAGCAUGCAGGCGAAUGGAUUCCUGUACUGCGUUUACACGAAUCAGAAGUUUAUGAUUACUCUAGACGCCAAAACAAUGGAAUUCUCUGUUGCUGAGCUCCCCCAGUGUCUGCAGAACCCGCGCUGCCACUUUGUUCUAGCUGAAGCAAAUCAUUCCAGGCCCUGUAUUGUUUAUGCCAGUGACUUCAGCAUAGGUGUGUUGCUUUGUGAACCAGAGGGUGACAAUGCUGGGAGCUGGUAUCUGGACAAGGUGUUUGAUAUGCACGCACCUCUUACGCAGAUCCUUGAGGCCAUACCACAAGAGGUGAAUGUUGUGGCGAUCAUGGAUGGCUUUGCUUACUUGGCAACAGUGAUGGAUGAUGAGCCCCAGAACUCGCCUUGGCUCCUCUCCCUGUGCUUAGAAACAAUGGAGCUGGUUAAGCUGUUUCGGGUGGCGUUUGAUGCUGGUGUUCAUCCCUACGUCCUGGCCUGGCCUUCUGCUUUAGUAGGUAACUAUGGGGCGUUUGCAUUGGGUAAUUCUCCAUGA